GUUAUGCGCUCCUCUCCGCCUUUGCUCUCAAAAAUCUUUCCAGGGCAGAAGUGUAACUAAAACAAGAAGCAAUUUGGUGUUUUUAUGGAGUUUUAGGUUUUUUGUGGGGGUUUUUUGGGGGGGGGAGUUGUUGCUGUUGUUUUUUAAGCAGGAGGGUGGUUUUCCAGGAAGCACAUUUUCAAUACUUUUCUUUCUUCUCACUCUCAUUUUCUGCUUUUCACAGUUCACAGUCAUUUCCUUCAGAUCAGCUAAUUCAACUCCAAGUCUGAAAGCUGCUAGGACUCCUCUCAUUCCGCUCCAGCUCGGACCUGGGAAUUCUAGUGCUGUGUCAGCUGUUACUUUCUACCCAGAGGCAAAAGGAAGAAAACCGAGUUCCUUCUCCACGGGUGACCUCAGCCUGUCAGCAACGCCACCCCUGACCCGUGCUUGAUCCUCCCUCCUGAAGAACGCAAGGUAUGCUUCUAAGAACUUCCACGGGGCAAAUGACCCCACACACAGUAACUGUCAGACUGUUAGGUACAAGAUGCCUGUAAGACUCCAUUCCUGAGGAAAAAGAAUCGGGGAAAUAAUUUGAUGAAGGAUAGGAAAGUGCUGGAGAAGGGGCGCCUGGGUGGCUCAGUCGUUGAGCGUCUGCCUUCCGCUCGGGUUGUGAUCCCGGGGUC
This is a long non-coding RNA of Callorhinus ursinus (northern fur seal), 662 nucleotides long. RefSeq lists it as uncharacterized. The record is from RefSeq and is a predicted model, not a curated record. Lineage: Eukaryota; Metazoa; Chordata; Mammalia; Carnivora; Otariidae.